UACGAAGGGGGCUAGCGUUGUUCGGAAUUACUGGGCGUAAAGCGUGCGCAGGCGGCUUCUCAAGUCAGGGGUGAAAGCCCAGAGCUCAACUCUGGAAUUGCCUUUGAGACUGAGUGGCUUGAGUACGGGAGAGGUGAGUGGAAUUCCCAGUGUAGAGGUGAAAUUCGUAGAUAUUGGGAAGAACACCGGUGGCGAAGGCGGCUCACUGGCCCGUAACUGACGCUGAGGAGCGAAAGCAUGGGGAGCGAACAGG
This 253-nucleotide ribosomal RNA is filed under the name uncultured bacterium. RNAcentral's name for it is "partial 16S ribosomal RNA". It matches the Rfam family "Bacterial small subunit ribosomal RNA", at positions 524 to 776 of the family's 1533-position model. The record is from RNAcentral.